ACCGGUCUUGGCCGGGCGCGGGUCGUCGAUCUGGCGGGGCGGCGGCUGCUGGUGGUGGGGUUCGGCGCCUCGGGGCGGCG
RNAcentral lists this transfer RNA (80 nucleotides) under Allgaiera indica. RNAcentral's name for it is "tRNA-Ala". The record is from RNAcentral. Lineage: Bacteria; Pseudomonadati; Pseudomonadota; Alphaproteobacteria; Rhodobacterales; Paracoccaceae.